GACGAACGCUGGCGGCGUGCUUAACACAUGCAAGUCGAACGGAAAGGCCCUGCUUUCGUGGGGUGCUCGAGUGGCGAACGGGUGAGUAACACGUGAGUAACCUGCCCUUGUCUUUGGGAUAACUUAAGGAAACUGGGGCUAAUACCGGAUAGGAGCUCCUGCUGCAUGGUGGGGGUUGGAAAGUUUCGGCGGUUGGGGAUGGACUCGCGGCUUAUCAGCUUGUUGGUGGGGUAGUGGCUUACCAAGGCUUUGACGGGUAGCCGGCCUGAGAGGGUGACCGGCCACAUUGGGACUGAGAUACGGCCCAGACUCCUACGGGAGGCAGCAGUGGGGAAUAUUGCACAAUGGGCGGAAGCCUGAUGCAGCAACGCCGCGUGCGGGAUGACGGCCUUCGGGUUGUAAACCGCUUUCGCCUGUGACGAAGCGUGAGUGACGGUAAUGGGUAAAGAAGCACCGGCUAACUACGUG
Molecule: ribosomal RNA, 468 nt
Filed under: uncultured bacterium
Lineage: Bacteria
Description: partial 16S ribosomal RNA
Rfam family: Bacterial small subunit ribosomal RNA
Source: RNAcentral